CGUAAGCCAGGUCGGUUUCUAUCUUUAUUUAAUUUAAAUAUUUUAGUACGAAAGGACCAGGUAUUUAAUAUAUUUAUAUUUUUAUUUUUGAAUAUUAUUA
Molecule: ribosomal RNA, 100 nt
Filed under: Abax angustatus
Lineage: Eukaryota; Metazoa; Arthropoda; Insecta; Coleoptera; Carabidae
Also listed under: 1 other name
Description: partial 16S ribosomal RNA
Source: RNAcentral